GCUCCUGUGGUGUAGUCCGGUCAAGCAUGUCGCCCUUUCAAGGCGGAGAUCCCGGGUCCAAAUUCUAUGUGAUGGAAAUCCCGGCGGGAGCA
Molecule: transfer RNA, 92 nt
Filed under: Candidatus Nitrosotenuis sp.
Lineage: Archaea; Thermoproteati; Nitrososphaerota
Description: tRNA-Glu
Rfam family: tRNA
About the family: Transfer RNA (tRNA) molecules are approximately 80 nucleotides in length.
Source: RNAcentral